This 409-nucleotide ribosomal RNA is filed under the name bacterium. RNAcentral describes it as "partial 16S ribosomal RNA". It matches the Rfam family "Bacterial small subunit ribosomal RNA", at positions 355 to 776 of the family's 1533-position model. The record is from RNAcentral.
UGGGGAAUAUUGCACAAUGGGCGAAAGCCUGAUGCAGCGACGCCGCGUGAGGGAUGACGGCCUUCGGGUUGUAAACCUCUUUCAGUAGGGACGAAGCGCAAGUGACGGUACCUGCAGAAGAAGCACCGGCUAACUACGUGCCAGCAGCCGCGGUAAUACGUAGGGUGCGAGCGUUGUCCGGAAUUACUGGGCGUAAAGAGCUCGUAGGCGGUUUGUCACGUCGUCUGUGAAGUCCUAGGGCUUAACCCUGGACGUGCAGGCGAUACGGGCUGACUUGAGUACUACAGGGGAGACUGGAAUUUCUGGUGUAGCGGUGGUAUGCACAGAUAUCAGGAAGAACACCGAUGGCGAAGGCAGGUCUCUGGGUAGUAACUGACGCUGAGGAGCGAAAGCAUGGGUAGCGAACAGG